GACGAACGCUGGCGGCGUGCUUAACACAUGCAAGUCGAACGGAAAGGCCCCUUUGGGGGUACUCGAGUGGCGAACGGGUGAGUAACACGUGAGUAACCUGCCCUUGACUUCGGGAUAACUUCAGGAAACUGGGGCUAAUACCGGAUAGGAAUCCUUGCUGCAUGGUGGGGGUUGGAAAGCUUCGGCGGUUUUGGAUGGACUCGCGGCUUAUCAGCUUGUUGGUGGGGUAGUGGCUUACCAAGGCUUGACGGGUAGCCGGCCUGAGAGGGCGACCGGCCACAUUGGGACUGAGAUACGGCCCAGACUCCUACGGGAGGCAGCAGUGGGGAAUAUUGCACAAUGGGCGGAAGCCUGAUGCAGCAACGCCGCGUGCGGGAUGACGGCCUUCGGGUUGUAAACCGCUUUCAGCAGGGGCGAAGCUUGUGGUGACGGUACCUGCAGAAGAAGCACCGGCUAACUACGUG
Molecule: ribosomal RNA, 464 nt
Filed under: uncultured bacterium
Lineage: Bacteria
Description: partial 16S ribosomal RNA
Rfam family: Bacterial small subunit ribosomal RNA
Source: RNAcentral